RNAcentral lists this ribosomal RNA (253 nucleotides) under uncultured bacterium. RNAcentral describes it as "partial 16S ribosomal RNA". It matches the Rfam family "Bacterial small subunit ribosomal RNA", at positions 524 to 776 of the family's 1533-position model. The record is from RNAcentral.
UACGGAGGGUGCAAGCGUUAUCCGGAUUCACUGGGUUUAAAGGGUGCGUAGGCGGGCAGGUAAGUCCGUGGUGAAAUCCCCGAGCUUAACUCGGGAACUGCCAUGGAUACUAUUUGUCUUGAAUAUUGUGGAGGUAAGCGGAAUAUGUCAUGUAGCGGUGAAAUGCUUAGAUAUGACAUAGAACACCAAUAGCGUAGGCAGCUUGCUACACGAAUAUUGACACUGAGGCACGAAAGCGUGGGGAUCAAACAGG